GAUGAACGCUGGCGGCGUGCCUAAUACAUGCAAGUCGAGCGAACGGACGAGAAGCUUGCUUCUCUGAUGUUAGCGGCGGACGGGUGAGUAACACGUGGAUAACCUACCUAUAAGACUGGGAUAACUUCGGGAAACCGGAGCUAAUACCGGAUAAUAUUUUGAACCGCAUGGUUCAAAAGUGAAGGACGGUCUUGCUGUCACUUAUAGAUGGAUCCGCGCUGCAUUAGCUAGUUGGUAAGGUAACGGCUUACCAAGGCAACGAUGCAUAGCCGACCUGAGAGGGUGACCGCCCACACUGGAACUGAGACACGGUCCAGACUCCUACGGGAGGCAGCAGUAGGGAAUCUUCCGCAAUGGGCGAAAGCCUGACGGAGCAACGCCGCGUGAGUGAUGAAGGUCUUCGGAUCGUAAAACUCUGUUAUUAGGGAAGAACAUAUGUGUAAGUAACUGUGCACAUCUUGACGUUACCUAAUCAGAAAGCCACGGCUAACUACGUG
RNAcentral lists this ribosomal RNA (497 nucleotides) under uncultured bacterium. RNAcentral describes it as "partial 16S ribosomal RNA". It matches the Rfam family "Bacterial small subunit ribosomal RNA", at positions 28 to 507 of the family's 1533-position model. The record is from RNAcentral.